Molecule: non-coding RNA, 102 nt
Organism: Paramuricea clavata
Lineage: Eukaryota; Metazoa; Cnidaria; Anthozoa; Malacalcyonacea; Plexauridae
Source: the annotation of a GenBank genome assembly
AUGGAUGUGAACGAGUGGAUGAAUUAUGGAUGUUCAGAUGAGGGUACAUAUAUACAGAACAUCCAUACCUCAUCUACUCGUUCACAUCCAUCAGAACACGAA